RNAcentral lists this ribosomal RNA (1003 nucleotides) under Hyaloperonospora parasitica. RNAcentral's name for it is "LSU rRNA". It matches the Rfam family "Eukaryotic large subunit ribosomal RNA", at positions 65 to 864 of the family's 3401-position model. The record is from RNAcentral. Lineage: Eukaryota; Oomycota; Peronosporomycetes; Peronosporales; Peronosporaceae.
CUACAGGAUUCCCCUAGUAACGGCGAGUGAAGCGGGAUGAGCUCAAGCUUAAAAUCUCUGUCACAAAUUUAUUUUGUGCGGCGAAUUGUAGUCUAUAGAAGCGUGGUCAGUGUAGGCGCUUGGGUUAAGUUCCUUGAAAAAGGACAGCAUCGAGGGUGAUACUCCCGUUUGUACCUAAGUGUCUUAUGCGUACGACCCGUUUUCUUUGAGUCGCGUUGUUUGAGAAUGCAGCGCAAAGUAGGUGGUAAAUUCCAUCUAAAGCUAAAUAUUGGUGCGAGACCGAUAGCGAACAAGUACCGUGAGGGAAAGAUGAAAAGAACUUUGAAAAGAGAGUUAAAGAGUACCUGAAACUGCUGAAAGGGAACCGGAUCGUUUCUAGUGUCUAUAAUCCGUGACAUAUUUCAUUGGCGGGCGUGUGCGUAUGUGUACUAUGGCAGCGGCUAAUUGGCUGCGCUUGGUGUGCGUGCUGUGUGUGCUUACUGGUGCCCUGUGUUAUGGUGGGACGUCAAGGUCAGUUCGUAUGCUGCGGGAAAUGGCUGCUGAGGAGGUAGGGCUUACGCUUGCGUUUGUCUGUUAUAUCUUGGUGGUUUUGUCGUGGUUGGGACUGAGGUGUUCUACAACGUGCUCUUGAGUAGGUCUGCGUCUCCGUGUGCACCGUGUGCAGAUAGCUUGCUAUGUGUGUGUGGUUGUGUGUGGAUUGAUGCGGGCUUGAACUUGUUGCCGUUCGGGACUUUGACGAAAUAGAGCGAUUUGACCCGUCUUGAAACACGGACCAAGGAGUCUAACAUAUGUGCAAGUGUUAGGGUGUGGAAACCCCAGCGCGAAAUUAACGUAAAGGAUAGCGUAAGCUGUCUUAGGUAGGAAACGUUGCGGAUUUCGGUCUGUGGCGUGGCACUAUCGACCGAUCAUGAACCUUCGUGGUGAAAGAUUUGAGUUUGAGCACAUAUGUUGGUACCCGAAAGAUGGUGAACUAUGCCUGAGUAGGGUGAAGCCAGGGAAACUC